GGGCCCGCACAAGCGGAGGAACAUGUGGUUUAAUUCGAUGAUACGCGAGGAACCUUACCCGGGCUUGAAAGUUAGCGCUUGAGACAGAGACGUCUCAUCCCAGCAAUGGGCGCGAAACUAGGUGCUGCAUGGUUGUCGUCAGCUCGUGCCGUGAGGUGUCGGGUUAAGUCCCAUAACGAGCGCAACCCCUAUCGUUAGUUGCUAGCAGUUUAAGCUGAGGACUCUAACGAGACUGCCGGUGUAAGCCGAGAGGAAGGUGGGGAUGACGUCAAAUCAGCACGGCCCUUACGUCCGGGGCUACACACGUGUUACAAUGGAUGGUACAGAGGGUCGCUAGCCAGUGAUGGUGUGCCAAUCUCAAAAGCCCAUUCUCAGUUCGGAUCGCAGGCUGCAACUCGCCUGCGUGAAGUUGGAUUCGCUAGUAAUCGCAGAUCAGCCAUGCUG
RNAcentral lists this ribosomal RNA (444 nucleotides) under uncultured Bacteroidota bacterium. RNAcentral's name for it is "bacterial SSU rRNA". It matches the Rfam family "Bacterial small subunit ribosomal RNA", at positions 917 to 1359 of the family's 1533-position model. Lineage: Bacteria; Pseudomonadati; Bacteroidota. The record is from RNAcentral.